This 319-nucleotide ribosomal RNA is filed under the name uncultured organism. Its description in RNAcentral is "bacterial LSU rRNA". It matches the Rfam family "Bacterial large subunit ribosomal RNA", at positions 2169 to 2486 of the family's 2925-position model. The record is from RNAcentral.
UUGCGGGAAUAUGGGAGUCCUCAGUGAGAUACCACUCUUGUAAUGUUAGAUUUCUAACUUUGUAUCAUUAUCUGGUCAAAGGACAGUUUCAGGCGGGCAGUUUGACUGGGGCGGUCGCCUCCCAAAAGGUAACGGAGGCGCACAAAGGUUUCCUCUGAACGGGUAGAAAUCGUAUCUACGAGUGUAAAGGCAUAAGGAAGCUUGACUGUGAGACCUACAAGUCGAGCAGGGACGAAAGUCGGUCUUAGUGAUCCGACGGUGCUGAGUGGAAAGGCCGUCACUCAACGGAUAAAAGUUACUCUAGGGAUAACAGGCUGAA